Anastrepha ludens (Mexican fruit fly) is the source of this 2057-nucleotide long non-coding RNA. RefSeq lists it as uncharacterized. NCBI's taxonomy places the organism in Eukaryota, Metazoa, Arthropoda, Insecta, Diptera, Tephritidae. The record is from RefSeq and is a predicted model, not a curated record. The transcript is spliced from 5 exons.
AAAGUAAAAGUACGUUCACAUAUGCAUUAUUUACCAAUUGAUCCACAAAAUUAACCUACCCGUUCACAUAUGGCAGAUUACCUGCAAAAUUGACAAUCAGCUGUCAGUACUGUUGUGAAAAGUUGUUCUACAUAGAAAAUAGAUCUAAAAUAAAAUAAAUAGAAAAUUAAUUAUCUAUUACACAGAAAACACAGAGUUGUAUAUCAAAAAGUAUGGUUAUUAUCUAGAAAUAUUUUAUAAUUUCAGAUUUUGGGAGAUAAAUUUUGUAUGGGAAAUCUAGCUUUUUAAAUACGGAUUGGGAGUUAAGCACUAAAAAGUAGAUCAUCUACUUAUAUGAGAACGCAUCAUAAGCUUAUCAAAGACUUGGAUGAGUGGCAUCACAGAAGUAAUCAACACUGAAGUAAACAAACAGUAGAAAAUAAAUGUACAUACAAAAGUAUAUAAACAAUAGAAGUACUUGCGAUUUAUGGGACGAAAUUUAGAUAAUUUGUCAUUAGAUGGAAAUUAAAGUGUUUUCUUCGGCUAUCCAGCUCAGUAUGCCGAACAAUUUCCAUGGGAACGAACCGAAGGAUGGGAAAACGAAUGGAUGCACUGGCUGACAUGUUCCACACAGCAAAUGUGUAAUUUAAUAAUAUUUAUUAUUACUACUCAAAGGAUCAUACCCGUGUAAAUUGAUUGGAAUACUGAGUUGGACAACCGAAGAAAACAUGCUAAUUAUUGACUUCGUGUUUGUGUACACGUACAUAUGUAACUUAAUUUGCUUGUCAGUGCUACCAGUUGCAGAAGGACUUGGUGACAAACGUACAACGAAAAUAAAAACGAACAGAACGGAUCAUAAAUUGAACCAUUAACCGAGUCCAUGGACUAGCGUUGUAAUAUUAUAUGAAACAAUAAAGGGCGCAGAGGUACGGUGCACAACACAGCUAGUUCACUGGGGGCGACAGCCCUUUGGUCGAGAAAAACCCGAAUCAUUCCGGUAACGUAGAACUGGCUGACAUGGGACGCUCAUAUUUUUCACUUUAUAACUUUCCUAAUACAAUAGCGAAAUAGAACAAAUCAUAGCACGACUUAUUUAUUUAUUACUUCUUCCCAAAUAUUAAACUGUGUUACUGACCAGAUGAUAAUUGAACUUUGUAGAUGAGUUUGAUUUGAAAAAGAAACCACUCAUCGUCCAGAAGUAAUAGGUACUAGUAGCAUAAACUACAUAUGGCAUACCUUCAAUAUAAAAUCAUGAUUUCCUCCAAUUUUUUACGCUUCAAAUCGGGUACAACACAAUCUUCAGCAGCAUAACCUACAGGCAAUAAUAAAAGCAAUUUUUCAUUUUCUGGUCUGUCUAGAAGAAUUCGUAAUGCGUGCCCGCAAUUCAAAGGUGUAGUUACCAAAGAAUUCAGACCAGCAGACUGCAAAGCACACAAUAGAAUUCCGGUGGCAAUUGCUAGGGAUAUCUCAUUGUAGUAAUGUUGCUUGCGACCGCCAUCUGGCAAAUGGCCAUACACUUGUUUGAACACUAGAAUUAAAUAUGGUGCAUCAGUGAGAUACGAUUUAACAUGAUUUGUGCGCAGUGGACGCAAAUCGGCUGUCCAUUGACGGUGCAUACGUUGAGCAUAAUUCAACUCUUCCUCUGCUUCGAUGACAUCGCGAAUACGUUGCUUCAAGUCAGCAUCUCUGACGACACAGAAUGUCCAUGGUUCGGUAUGUGCACCACUAGGAGCUGUACCAGCUGCACGUAUGCAAUUCUCAAUAACAUCUAGCGGUGGAAUAGGUGUGGUACGGUAAGAGCGUACGCUGCGACGAUCAUUUGCUAUGGCAUAGAACUGCUUGACACCACCAGGAAGCGUAACAGUUGCGCCACAAAAUGGAACAUGAUUAUCAACUUUCAAUGCUGGAACAUAGGAGUUGUAGGAGGUGUCGUCAUGUGCCUCUUCAUUAUUUUCGAAUGUAUCACUGCUGGUGAAGUCAGCUGCGUAAGAGCAAUCAACGCGCCUUGCCAGUUUUUCACCAACAAGGAAUUUUUAUAUAGUGAAGUGAUAUCCAUUUUUCCACUCCUUUCACUGGCU